RNAcentral lists this ribosomal RNA (714 nucleotides) under Rhinebothriidae sp. 1 JB-2023. RNAcentral describes it as "partial large subunit ribosomal RNA". Lineage: Eukaryota; Metazoa; Platyhelminthes; Cestoda; Rhinebothriidea; Rhinebothriidae. The record is from RNAcentral.
AGAGAGUAAACAGUACGUGAAACCGCAUGCAGGUAAACGGGUGGCGUCAAGCUGUACGCCCAGAGGAUUCAGCCGGUUAGAGUGUAGUUACACGCUUGCGUGUCGAACGGCCAGUGUAAGAUUGGGUAGUCUACUGGAAGACAGUGGGCCCUGCCGCAAGGUGGGGAUGUGUGUACCGGGUGGAAGCCGGAGCACGCUAUCCGUCUAUUGGGCCAUCUAGCCGGUGCACUUUCUCUGUGGUGGACACCACGACCGGUGGAACUGCCAGUCUGCUAUGUUCAAGUCGUAUUCGGUUGGUCCUUGUGGCCUACUGGGUGCGAUCACGGGCAAACUCGGUGAACGGCGUUGAUGUGCUCUCGGGCGUGUCUUCGUGUUAUCGGUAACCGGUUGUCUUAACGGGCUUGCCUUACGAUUGUUCUAGCCGUCGUAGGGUGGUCUGGUGGAGCAUAGUGGUAAGAAUAACUGUGCAGGGCACCGGAGUUCUCGGCAUCAAAUGCAGCCGGCAUGCACGCUGGAAGUGUUAAUGUGGGUGCCCGCGUUGCCUGCCUGUAGUGGGGGUCUGAUUGUCGUGUUGCCUGCGAAAAGUAGGUUCGGCAGUGGCUCUCCUCAGGAUGGGUUGACGAUGGGUGCUUACAGUGUCGGUUGUAGUGUGCCAAACAGUCUGUGGUGUAGUGGUAGACGAGCUACCCGACCCGUCUUGAAACACGGACCAAG